GAUGUCCAAUAGUUGAAUAUUAAAAUCAAAUUUGAUCUGAUUUAUUUUUUUUGGUCUAUGAGAUAGACGAUUUUUCUCUUCCUCUCCUUAGAUCUAGUCCAAGGAUUCGACAAGAAAGAAGAAUAAGAGAUCUGAUCUCUUGUCUUCUUCUAUAGAUCUUUGAUUUUUUUUUAAAAGAGAAAAGUGAAAAAAAAAAUCAGAUUUGAUCUGAUUUUGAAUUCUUCAUAUAGAUCUGUUUGAUUUUCUUGAGAAGAGAAUCAAAAGGUCAAACUGAUUCGAUAAUCUAAGGAAUGAUCUCUGCAAGG
This 305-nucleotide long non-coding RNA is filed under the name Elaeis guineensis (African oil palm). RNAcentral's name for it is "long non-coding RNA (EGUI_LNC046143)". The record is from RNAcentral. Lineage: Eukaryota; Viridiplantae; Streptophyta; Magnoliopsida; Arecales; Arecaceae.